RNAcentral lists this ribosomal RNA (465 nucleotides) under uncultured bacterium. RNAcentral describes it as "partial 16S ribosomal RNA". It matches the Rfam family "Bacterial small subunit ribosomal RNA", at positions 338 to 795 of the family's 1533-position model. The record is from RNAcentral.
CCUACGGGUGGCAGCAGUGGAGAAUAUUGCGCAAUGGGCGAAAGCCUGACGCAGCGACGCCGCGUGAGGGAUGAAGGUCUUCUGAUCGUAAACCUCUGUCAGCAGGGAAGAAAGGUCACUGUGCUAAUCAGCAGUGCAUUGACGGUACCUGCAAAGGAAGCACCGUCUAACUCCGUGCCAGCAGCCGCGGUAAUACGGAGGGUGCGAGCGUUAAUCGGAAUUACUGGGCGUAAAGCGCUCGUAGGCGGUAUGUCAAGUCAAGGGUGAAAUCCCCGCGCUCACCGUGGGAACUGCCUUUGAAACUGGCAAACUGGAGUGUGUGAGAGGAUAGUGGAAUUCCAGGUGUAGGAGUGAAAUCCGUAGAUAUCUGGAGGAACAUCAGUGGCGAAGGCGACUAUCUGGCACAUAACUGACGCUGAGGAGCGAAAGCGUGGGUAGCAAACAGGAUUAGAUACCCCAGUAGUC